GACGAACGCUGGCGGCGUGCUUAACACAUGCAAGUCGAACGGAAAGGCCCUGCUUUUGUGUGGUGCUCGAGUGGCGAACGGGUGAGUAACACGUGAGUAACCUGCCCUUGACUUUGGGAUAACUUCAGGAAACUGGGGCUAAUACCGGAUAGGAGCUCCUGCUGCAUGGUGGGGGUUGGAAAGUUUCGGCGGUUGGGGAUGGACUCGCGGGUUAUCAGCUUGUUGGUGGGGUAGUGGCUUACCAAGGCUUUGACGGGUAGCCGGCAUGGGAGGGUGGACGGCCACCUUGGGACUGCGAUACGGCCCAGACGGGUACGGGAGGCAGCGGUGGGGAAUAUUGCACAACGGGGCGACGCCUGAUGAGGAGACGCCGCGAGCGGGAUGACGGCCUACGGGUUGUAAACCGCAUUAGCCUGUGACGAAGCUUGAGUGACGGUAAUGGGUAAAGAAGCACCGGCUAACUACGUG
RNAcentral lists this ribosomal RNA (468 nucleotides) under uncultured bacterium. RNAcentral describes it as "partial 16S ribosomal RNA". It matches the Rfam family "Bacterial small subunit ribosomal RNA", at positions 28 to 507 of the family's 1533-position model. The record is from RNAcentral.